GCCUUCGUGGUGUAAUGGUCAGCACACUGAGCCGGUAUUUCAGAGGUCCGAGGUUCAAAUCCCGGCGAAGGCC
RNAcentral lists this transfer RNA (73 nucleotides) under Stegodyphus mimosarum. It matches the Rfam family "tRNA". From Rfam's summary of the family: Transfer RNA (tRNA) molecules are approximately 80 nucleotides in length. Lineage: Eukaryota; Metazoa; Arthropoda; Arachnida; Araneae; Eresidae. The record is from Rfam by way of RNAcentral.